This 497-nucleotide ribosomal RNA is filed under the name uncultured bacterium. Its description in RNAcentral is "partial 16S ribosomal RNA". It matches the Rfam family "Bacterial small subunit ribosomal RNA", at positions 28 to 507 of the family's 1533-position model. The record is from RNAcentral.
GAUGAACGCUGGCGGCGUGCCUAAUACAUGCAAGUCGAGCGAACAGACGAGGCACUUGCCUCCCUGACGUUCGCGGCGGGGGGGUGAGUAAAAUGUGGAUAAAACACCUAUAAGACUGGGAUAACUUCGGGAAACCGGAGCUAAUACCGGAUAAUCUAUUGAACCGCAUGGUUCAAUAGUUAAAGACGGUUUUGCUGUCACUUAUAGCUGGAUCCGCGCCGCAUUAGCUAGUUGGUAAGGUAACGGCUUACCAAGGCCACGAUGCGUAGCCGACCUGAGAGGGUGAUCGGCCACACUGGAACUGAGACACGGUCCAGACUCCUACGGGAGGCAGCAGUAGGGAAUCUUCCGCAAUGGGCGAAAGCCUGACGGAGCAACGCCGCGUGAGUGAUGAAGGUCUUCGGAUCGUAAAACUCUGUUAUUGGGGAAGAACAAAUGUGUAAGUAACUAUGCACGUCUUGACGGUACCUAAUCAAAAAGCCACGGCUAACUACGUG